AUUCUGUGACUGCAAAGAGUGUCCAAGCACAUGUGUCUUCUGCAGCAUGGUCUGCCAGGGUUGGUAGUCUCCAAAGUUUACCGUGGACAUUUCCUCCUUCACUUCUUGGUCUGAGCGAGCCAGAGAGUGACUUCGAGCCAGAUUUGCGUUCCUUGCCUGUCUUGGUUUUCCAUGAGCCAAUCUUCAUGUGGAGCUUGUGACAUACAGGUGUUAUACCUUGCAAAUGAAUAAAUGAAUAAGGAUGAUGAUACGGCCUUCGCGUUUCCUCCCUGUACGUCCUAUCCUCUGCACCAGACGGAUUGGCGACUUUGGCGCAUCAUAGCAAAUGAUGAGAUCAACUUCACCAAUGUCCAAGCCUGCAAAUGUUUUACCCAAUUUACUAAUCUUCUUAGAAAGGUCCUGUUCCUUUUGUGGCAUUCAUCUGUUCUUUCAAAAAUAAAAUUGGUUGU
Molecule: long non-coding RNA, 449 nt
Organism: Penaeus monodon (black tiger shrimp)
Lineage: Eukaryota; Metazoa; Arthropoda; Malacostraca; Decapoda; Penaeidae
Exons: 3
Source: RefSeq, a predicted model, not a curated record